GAUGAACGCUAGCGGGAGGCCUAACACAUGCAAGCCGAGCGGUAGAGAUUCUUCGGAAACUUGAGAGCGGCGUACGGGUGCGGAACACGUGUGCAACCUGCCUUUAUCAGGGGGAUAGCCUUUCGAAAGGAAGAUUAAUACCCCAUAAUAUUUAGAAUGGCAUCAUUUUAAAUUGAAAACUCCGGUGGAUAGAGAUGGGCACGCGCAAGAUUAGAUAGUUGGUGAGGUAACGGCUCACCAAGUCUACGAUCUUUAGGGGGCCUGAGAGGGUGAUCCCCCACACUGGUACUGAGACACGGACCAGACUCCUACGGGAGGCAGCAGUGAGGAAUAUUGGACAAUGGGUGCGAGCCUGAUCCAGCCAUCCCGCGUGAAGGACGACGGCCCUAUGGGUUGUAAACUUCUUUUGUAUAGGGAUAAACCUUUCCACGUGUGGAAAGCUGAAGGUACUAUACGAAUAAGCACCGGCUAACUCCGUGCCAGCCGCCGCCGUAACAC
RNAcentral lists this ribosomal RNA (498 nucleotides) under uncultured bacterium. Its description in RNAcentral is "bacterial SSU rRNA". It matches the Rfam family "Bacterial small subunit ribosomal RNA", at positions 28 to 526 of the family's 1533-position model. The record is from RNAcentral.